RNAcentral lists this ribosomal RNA (497 nucleotides) under uncultured bacterium. Its description in RNAcentral is "partial 16S ribosomal RNA". It matches the Rfam family "Bacterial small subunit ribosomal RNA", at positions 28 to 507 of the family's 1533-position model. The record is from RNAcentral.
GAUGAACGCUGGCGGCGUGCCUAAUACAUGCAAGUCGAGCGAACGGACGAGAAGCUUGCUUCUCUGAUGUUAGCGGCGGACGGGUGAGUAACACGUGGAUAACCUACCUAUAAGACUGGGAUAACUUCGGGAAACCGGAGCUAAUACCGGAUGAUAUUUUGAACCGCAUGGUUCAAAAGUGAAAGACGGUCUUGCUGUCACUUAUAGAUGGAUCCGCGCUGCAUUAGCUAGUUGGUAAGGUAACGGCUUACCAAGGCAACGAUGCAUAGCCGACCUGAGAGGGGGAUCGGCCACACUGGAGGUGAGACACGGUCCAGACUCCUGCGGGAGGCAGCAGUAGGGAAUCUUCCGCAAUAGGCGAAAGCCUGACGGAGCAGCGCGGCGUGAGUGAUGAAAGUCUUCGGAGCGGGAAGCUCUGUUAUUAGGGAAGAACAUAUGUGUAAGUAACUGUGCACAUCUUGACGGUACCUAAUCAGAAAGCCACGGCUAACUACGUG